RNAcentral lists this ribosomal RNA (468 nucleotides) under uncultured bacterium. RNAcentral's name for it is "partial 16S ribosomal RNA". It matches the Rfam family "Bacterial small subunit ribosomal RNA", at positions 28 to 507 of the family's 1533-position model. The record is from RNAcentral.
GAUGAACGCUGGCGGCGUGCUUAACACAUGCAAGUCGAACGGUGAAGGCGGAGCUUGCUCUGCUGGAUCAGUGGCGAACGGGUGAGUAACACGUGAGCAAUCUGCCCCUGACUCUGGGAUAAGCGCUGGAAACGGCGUCUAAUACUGGAUACGAGCUGCGAAGGCAUCUUCAGCAGCUGGAAAGAACUUCGGUCAGGGAUGAGCUCGCGGCCUAUCAGCUUGUCGGUGAGGUAACGGCUCACCAAGGCGUCGACGGGUAGCCGGCCUGAGAGGGUGACCGGCCACACUGGGACUGAGACACGGCCCAGACUCCUACGGGAGGCAGCAGUGGGGAAUAUUGCACAAUGGGCGAAAGCCUGAUGCAGCAACGCCGCGUGAGGGACGACGGCCUUCGGGUUGUAAACCUCUUUUAGCAGGGAAGAAGCGAAAGUGACGGUACCUGCAGAAAAAGCGCCGGCUAACUACGUG